RNAcentral lists this ribosomal RNA (216 nucleotides) under Glomeromycotina sp. RNAcentral describes it as "partial small subunit ribosomal RNA". The stretch from base 44 to 216 matches the Rfam family "Eukaryotic small subunit ribosomal RNA", at positions 690 to 864 of the family's 1831-position model. Lineage: Eukaryota; Fungi; Glomeromycota. The record is from RNAcentral.
GGGCCAGUAGGUUGGUCGUGCCACCGGUACGUACUGGUCUCACUGAUUCCUCCUUCCUGAAGAACCGUAAUGCCAUUAAUUUGGUGUUGCGGGGAAACAGGACUGUUACUUUGAAAAAAUUAGAGUGUUUAAAGCAAGCUAACGCUUGAAUACAUUAGCAUGGAAUAAUGAAAUAGGACGAUCGAUCCUAUUUUGCUGGUUCCUAGGAUUGACGUA